RNAcentral lists this long non-coding RNA (5104 nucleotides) under Sarcophilus harrisii (Tasmanian devil). RNAcentral describes it as "lncRNA (ENSSHAG00000030033.1)". Lineage: Eukaryota; Metazoa; Chordata; Mammalia; Dasyuromorphia; Dasyuridae. The record is from RNAcentral.
GUUCUAAACAAAAGUCAAGAAAGGAGUUUGCCUUCAUUUGCAGCAAUUAAUGUUUGAAAGUGAAGAAUUAUGUAUUUGUUAGUGCUGUUUUGUUAAAUCUCUGCCCCCACCUUUAAAUCCAAUUCUGAUAGAACCCAAAGAGUAAAUGUCUAUUUUGGAAUUGGUGAGCAUGAGAGUGACAGAUGGUCUCAUGGGUUGAUGACUAAAGGGGACAGAGUGAGAAGAUGUCUAAUGGAAGAAAUGACCUUUGGUGAUGCCAUUAAAUCAUCCUUUGUACUAAACAUAAAUUAUUAAUAGUUUUAAAAAAAUAAUUAUCUGUUUUCUUUUGAGGUUGGGGAGAGUGAAAGGGAGCUAGGAAAAGGAAAAAGGGCGGGACAUUGCCUUUUCAACACAUCCCUUAACCUAAGUUGAGCACAUCCCCCCCCACCCCAGGAGUAUCUUAUCAAGAUAAUAUUAAUAUAUUUACUCACAUAAAGGCCACCUUCACAUAACAGUUGCACCUGGACCAUAAGUCUGUUAUCCAAUGGCCAAUGCAAUCAUUACUGUAUCUUCAGAUGGCUCAUGCAUUUUACAUAUGACAAAAUUGAUGCUCCAAAUAUGGCCAAUAUACAGGUGAAUAGGGCAUAUCCAAGUGUUUUCUUCCUCAUUAUAGGAAAAGUGCUUAAGAAACAUAACCUCAAGGAAGAGGCAGGAAACACAUUUUUACUAAAAAAUCUCAGUUUUGAAUUUGAAAUAAGCUACUUUGGAAUCCAAAGGAUGGGAAAGAGGCAGGUUCUGAACUUUUCAGAGAAUUGGAAAGAACACAUAAGCAUCAUAGAGGAAUAUUUCCUAAUUACACACAAGAACUUAGGUAUAUAACUUGAAAUGAAAAUAAAUCAGGUAAAAUCCAGUUGAGCAUUCCACAUCUCUAAUGCUACCCAUAUUUCCAAAAGAUCUCUCAGCCAUAGUUAAAUAAGAUUGUACACAUUGCUCAACCUUUCUCUAAACCAACUUGCAUUUGGGGCAUAUUUAUGUGCAGGUGGGUUUGACUUGGUUUCAAAAACAUACACACACACGCACACACACAUACACACACACUCAUGUACAUACCCUUUACAUAUCAUUUCUUAGUAAGUUUCUUAAUGCAAAUAAUCCCUCUAAAGACCAAUAAAUUGUACAAAUAUUGAAAAACACACAUACAGAUACAUACAUACUAACACACACAUACAUACCUAGUCAGAUGCUAACAGGUAUCUUAAAAUAUAUUUAGUACAGAAAACGUGGGGGUGGUGAUUGGUUUUUAACAGCACCUAAACUUCAUUCCCAAAAUUGCUUUUUGAGUACAUACUAAUCUCCUAGUGCAUUGAAGCAGGUACCAGCUGAUUUUUCAGAUAUUGAAACACUUAUGCACAAGGCUGAAUAAAGAUACAGGACAUGUAAUGUCCAGUAGGAAACAAAUCAGUGUACAUCAUUUACAUGGCAAUAAAUCCUUCAUUUCUUCUGAAAUAAGGUAUGUAAAGUAGUACUUAGUUUAACACAAGUUUUUGUUCUGUACUAAGUCUAUCUGUAAAAAGCCACUCAUGCAAAAAAUUACCUCCAGAUUUGGCUGGGUUUUUAAAGGACACUUCUCCUGAAAAUGAGUCCCUUUCACAUAGGGAAAAAAAAGAAAACAUACACUUCUGGCAGCUAAUUCCAGCUGUCAGUGGAAAAUUUGAGACUUUGGUGUUUAUAAGGUAUAUGCUAUAGGGAACCUGAAAUAAGUACUUAGCUGACCUAUAAAAGAUCAGAGGGUUAAAACAGCCCUAGGAAGCUUCAGGACUUUUCCUCAAUACUGAAUGUAUUUGGAGGCCUUUAUCCUCCAAUCUAUCCCCUUCCUUAUAUUUCUGCCAUUAUCUUUUCCAUAUUUCAAAUGUUUCUUGCUCUGUUUCUCAAUGUCAAUCUCAGUUACCUGAAACUUCCUUGCCACCUGUUCUUUAAGUCAAUUACUAUCCUGUUGAAAACAUUUUCCUCUUUAUCCCUAUAACAUUUUUCCUCCUAAGAUUCACACCCUAAUUUUCUAUCAAUCAAAACUGUAUGUAUAUAUUUUUGCCUUCAAAAGCCUACAAUUGUUCCUACCUUUAAAUACAAGAACCUCACCUAAUCAAAGAGAUGCUAAUUAGAGACUUCUUUAACCUCUCCUAAACCUUCUCCACUCCACAUGUAAAUAUAUGCACAUAUGCUCCUAUGGAAAAUUUGAUUUGCAUUUAAAUUUCAUCCAAAAUAGCAGGAGAAAAAGAAAGGAUAGUUCCACCCCAGAACUGCAGACUUGGUCUAGAAAUCAGGAUUAUAAAUGAUCAUCAGUUCAUUUUUAGGAUAUAGUUGCUGUCCCCUUUUAUGUUCUACUGAUCCCUACUAUCUUAACAUUACAAAAUGCUACAGCUACUCUAUUGGGAACCAUUCAGAAUAGUAUCUUAUUAGAGAGACAACAGGCAGCCAAGGGGAGAGAGGGAGAGAAUUUGGUGCUUUGUAGGAUUAAAAGACAAUUUCAUUGCAGUUUAUUUGGAAUCUGUGGAGAAAAUGGCUCUUAAGAUGAAAUCUGAGCCAAAUGUCUCCCCUUCCAAGUGAAGAAAUCACACUGACAUGAAUUGAGAAAGACUCUACAUGCUGCAUUUGCAAAGUCAUCAGGGGAAGGUAAUAUGGGCUUUAAGGUGACAUCCAUUUAUUCUUUUGCAUUAUGAUGACUCGAUAGUCCCAAAGUAGAGACAACAUAUAGAAAGAUUUGGUUGUUCUUACUUUUUCAAUAUAUCCUAUAACUAUGUCAUUGUAGAAAUGGUAAGAAAAAAUUAGUAAUGAUUUCAUAAAAAAAUUCUUAUAUUGAAAAGUAUUUAGAGCAAGACUAUGACUAACUAGACUCAAAACAAUGAUCCUCUGAUUUCAUCACAAACAUUUUUAUGUUUAUAGAUCAAAACAAUAUUGGAAUAUUGUCAAAUCUCCUAAUAGUUGACCAAAUGGAUAUUGCCUUCAUAGUAUAUUUUUACCUUGUGAAAAAUAUGUGGGAAAGAAAAGUGCACAUAUACAAAUUCUCCAUGUAUGUAUUAUAGAUUUUCCUAAAUUGUGAUCCGCAAGUCAGUUGAGCCUUGUGAGGAGCUCUAAAGACAAAGAGUGCCAAAGUGUGAUCUCAAUUGACCUCUGUCUUUCAGUUCUAUUUUCCCAAGCUCCCAUAACUGAGUAAUCUAAUAGAAACAGCAGAUUAGAAGAGCGAAUAAGAAGCCUAUUAUCUGGUUGCCAGUAAGGUGAGGGUAGAAAACACAGUAUUUCAAGAAGGAAGAUUGCUGUCCUUGGUCCUGAACAUAGACAGCCAUGACUCAUAAGCAGUAUUCACCAUUCUGGAAUGGAAAAGUCUAAUCUAUCACAUGGAAAAUUGUCAGCAAUUCAGAUUCUUGGUGGUGAACUUCAAGACAUUUGUUUCAAUGCCCACUUUUUUAUACUGAUUCAGGCAAAAACUGGUCACUGAAGUGUGAGGGACUUUAUGCAGAAACCAUGUUUUCUCCUUGGGCUAAAGUUAGCAAGAUUCUGACGUUUAUGUGUCAUCAAAACAAUCUCUACACUCAAUUCCCUAAACACUUAUUUCCUGGUUUAGACUAAGUAGUAUCUUGCAUCUUUGGAAAUGAGCAGCCUGCUCUGAUUGAUUAUUCUAAAGAUCAAAGGUAGAACUAAUUUAUAUUUCUAUGACAUAGUUUAGCAAGAAAUUUUUUUAGGAGGGUCAGGGGGGAGAAAUCUAAACAAAAUACUAAUUAAUAUAUAUUUUCUACCUUUCCAGACCUAAUUCAGUAGUUAUAUUUCCAAGAACCUGAGCAGAGCUUUAUUAUGCUCUGGAAUCAUAAAUAAUUCUCUUAUCCACCUGUUCACUUCCAACCAUCUUGAAAUUUGGAAAAGCAAGAUAGAUAUGAAAAUGAAAACUAUUCUUCCCCUGAUUAUGCCAAACUUUGUCAGAGAGACAAUGACCUCUGGAUUUUCUAAGUGAGAACUGUCCUCUUCCAAGUUACUUAGCUUUUGUUACAUUCUGAAACUCCCUGAAACAUUUCUUCCUCCAAAACAUAGAACUAAUCAAGCAGGCAACUUGACACUACAGUGAAAUAGCAGCAGGGUAUAUGUCACUGAUGAUUACCUCCAUUCUCCACUGGCUUGGGUGAGCAGUUGUUUUGUACUACCAACUUGGAGCAAUCUUAUCUGGCCUUGCAAAUGGAACAACCUGCUGGCCUCCAAGAAAUGCUAAAUUCUCAGCCAGAACAAGAAAAAAGUGUCAAAACAAGUUUUCCUUGUUCCUGUUAAAAUAUUUUCUCACAUUUGCCAUAAUCUCCUAGUUCUUUCUCCAGUGAUACCAUUGAAAUUUCUAAGUAAUCAGUCUUGUUACUAGGAAAUCAUACACUGAGGCAGAUUGUCCUAGGCAAGCCUUUGCUUUAUUUUGAAGAUUAUCUUUUCAAGAUUUACAGAAUGAAUAUAAAAUAUCUUUCUGAACUAGCUGGGAUUCUAAAAUUCUAUACCCUUAUUUUAAAAAUCUUAGUUAUAAUUAAUUUGGAUUCCUUUUUUCAAAUGAUUGAUUUUUUUAAUGAUAGAUUCUUUGGGAAAAUAACCUAUAGAAUCUUUGGGACCUAAGUGCCAUUUUCCAACCAAAAAACUAACCAAGAUCAAUGUAUCAUAGUUGGAGAUCUAAAAGGUUAUUAAAUUUGGGUCAAGUGGAAUUUAAACAAGUGAAUGGAUUACUUCCUCAUUUCUACCUAGAAUAGUCAAUGGUCCAAUUCAUGCAAUACUCCAAAGGACCUAAUUAAUCUAUUUAAUCACAUCUCACCAUCCAAUUUUUUUUCUUUUUCCUAACAAUAUAAUUUUAUUUCUGUAAGACAGUAAUAAUUUGGAGUUGUCUCAAAAAUUACUCAGUGACAUUGCAGACAUCUUGGAUUGCUCAAAGGUCAUUAAUGAUGUCAUAUUUGAAGCUUAGAAAUUGAAAAGAAAUUGUUUUUGAUGAUUUAAUUUCCAACUGUGUACCUGUAGAUGGGCAGUUCACUCACAUAUGAUUAUGAAUGAAUUGGAGAUUUGAUGAUUUUUUUAUAACUAAUAGAAUUAUUUUUUCAGUUUAUUAUGUUUUCCC